Molecule: ribosomal RNA, 253 nt
Filed under: uncultured bacterium
Lineage: Bacteria
Description: partial 16S ribosomal RNA
Rfam family: Bacterial small subunit ribosomal RNA
Source: RNAcentral
UACGGGGGGGGCAAGCGUUGUUCGGAAUUACUGGGCGUAAAGGGCUCGUAGGCGGCCAACUAAGUCAGACGUGAAAUCCCUCGGCUUAACCGGGGAACUGCGUCUGAUACUGGAUGGCUGGAGGUUGGGAGAGGGAUGCGGAAUUCCAGGUGUAGCGGUGAAAUGCGUAGAUAUCAGGAGGAACACCGGUGGCGAAGGCGGGUCUCUGGGCAACAACUGACGCUGAGGAGCGAAAGCGUGGGGAGCGAACAGG